AUCAUCAUCAAGAACCAUCAUAUCAUCUCCCCCUUUUUGUCAGAAAGCGCCAAAAUGACAAAAGGAGGAACCCCGCAACAUCUAAUAUGAAGCAUCUCCUGGAGGUAAAUCUGCUCGGCAACAUCCUAACUUGUCAAAAAUCAUAUUUAAUAACCGCUUCAUCUUGCUCACAUCCUUCCGUAUCGCAGCUUGCUCCUCAGACAGUUUCUGAAGCUCUUCAGAUAAACGUU
RNAcentral lists this long non-coding RNA (230 nucleotides) under Ananas comosus (pineapple). Its description in RNAcentral is "long non-coding RNA (ACOM_LNC001015)". Lineage: Eukaryota; Viridiplantae; Streptophyta; Magnoliopsida; Poales; Bromeliaceae. The record is from RNAcentral.